CAAGUCGAGUGCGCGGUUGUAGCAAUACAACUGGCGCACGGCGCACGGGUGCGUAACACGUGGGCAAUCUGCCCUUCGAUGGGGAAUAUCUUCGGGAAACCGAAGCGAAUUCCGCAUAACACUCCUUGGACUUCGGUUCGAGGACUCAAAGCCGCAAGGCGUCGAAGGAGGAGCCCGCGCCCGAUUAGCUAGUUGGUAGGGUAACGGCCUACCAAGGCAAUGAUCGGUAGCUGGUCUGAGAGGAUGGCCAGCCACACUGGAACUGAGACACGGUCCAGACUCCUACGGGAGGCAGCAGUGGGGAAUCUUGCACAAUGGGCGAAAGCCUGAUGCAGCGACGCCGCGUGGGGGAUGAAGCAUCUCGGUGUGUAAACCCCUUUCGACCCGGAAGAAUGCCUCGCAAGAGGAGUGACGGUACGGGUAUAAGAAGCCCCGGCUAACUACGUGCCAGCAGCCGCGGUAAGACGUAGGGGGCCAGCGUUGUUCGGAAUUACUGGGUGUAAAGGGUUCGUAGGCGGUGCGGCAAGUUGGGAGUGAAAUCUCUGGGCUCAACCCAGAGGCUGCUUCCAAAACUGCUGUGCUUGAGUGUGGGAGAGGCGCGUGGAAUUGCAGGUGUAGCGGUGAAAUGCGUAGAUAUCUGCAGGAACACCCGUGGCGAAAGCGGCGCGCUGGACCACUACUGACGCUGAGGAACGAAAGCUAGGGGAGCAAACAGGAUUAGAUACCCUGGUAGUCCUAGCCCUAAACGAUCAGGAACUUGGGGUGCCACCCGUUCGGGUGUCGUCCCGGAGCUAACGCGUUAAGUCCUGCACCUGGGGAGUACGGUCGCAAGACUGAAACUCAAAGGAAUUGACGGGGGCCCGCACAAGCGGUGGAACAUGUGGUUCAAUUCGACGCUACGCGAGGAACCUUACCUGGGCUCGAA
This 925-nucleotide ribosomal RNA is filed under the name uncultured Pseudomonadota bacterium. RNAcentral's name for it is "bacterial SSU rRNA". It matches the Rfam family "Bacterial small subunit ribosomal RNA", at positions 58 to 985 of the family's 1533-position model. The record is from RNAcentral. Lineage: Bacteria; Pseudomonadati; Pseudomonadota.